Mirounga angustirostris (Northern elephant seal) is the source of this 1738-nucleotide long non-coding RNA. RefSeq lists it as uncharacterized. Lineage: Eukaryota; Metazoa; Chordata; Mammalia; Carnivora; Phocidae. The transcript has 3 exons. The record is from RefSeq and is a predicted model, not a curated record.
UUUGACGCCCAGUCAAUAGAAUGCACCAGAAUUUCUGUUUGUGAAAGGAGAUCUUUGUAGCUAUAGGUGGAAAAAAAUUAGUCACCAUUUAUGCUGUUGCUCAGAGCAAGAAGGUGAUGCAAGGACAGAGGAAGAGAGAUACAGAUGUGAACCAGACAAGGGCGCCCCCUUAAGGACACUGGAACACAUAAGGAGCUGCUCCGUUAGUCCAGUCCUGACCUAUUCUUUGCCGUUCAGACAGAAAGCUGACUUGGGAAGGAAUUUUCUGCUUUCCUCUGCUGUUCCUGCAAAUGGACAGAUUUUAAGGGUUGACCCAGAGUGAUGUGUGGCACUGGGGACUCGCAGUGUACUAAGGAGGGGAACCCAAUUACUUUCUAUAGCAAAACCCAAUUCUUCUGGAUCCAUUGCUCUAAAACCAAGAGUUAUAUGGCUUUGUUUGGGAAUUUCCUUUUCUCCAGGCAAAAUGAGCUUCAUAUUCUGAAAAUGGUGCUAUGAGGCAUAGCACUGUGACGAGGUGUGAGGAUGAAAGUGAUAUAACUUUAAAACAGUACUAUGCCUGCUAUUUGAUAAGAACCCAAUAAAUGGUAGCUAAUACUAUUGCAACCCCCCCUUUUAUUUGCUUAGCAAUUUUGCUUUUCCGCUUCUUCCCCAUUCAAGCAGUAUUGAGAUAUAUUUGGCAUUUAACAUUGUGUAAGUUUAAGGUGCACAACUUUCGAUUUGAUAGACUCAUAUAUUGCAAUAUGAUUGUCACCAUAGAGUUAGCUAACACAUCCAUCAAAUUAUAUAAUUAUCAUUUCAUUUUUUGUGGUAAGAACAUUGAAGAUCUACUCUCUUUGCAACUUCAAAGUAUAUAUAAUACAGUAUUGUUAACUAUAAUCACACUGUUGUACAUUAGAUCCUUAGAACCUAUUCACCUUCUCCCUGGAAGUUUGUACCCUUUGACCAGCAUUUCCUCAAUUUCCCUUGCCUCUCUCAGCCUUUGGCAACCACCAGUUCUACUCUCUGCUUCUAUGAGUUCAGUGUUACUGUAUUAUUAGAUGUCACAUACGAGUGAGAUCAUACAGUAUUUGUCUUUUCCUGUCUGACUUAUGUCACUUAGUAUAACGCACUGAAGGUCCAUCUGUGUUGUAGCAAAUGGCAGGAUUUCCUUCUUUCUCAUGUGAAUCAUGUCACUUUUGCAGAAAACAGUGAGAUUUAAUUUCUCAAUUUAUAUACCUAUUUCUGCUCCUUUCUUGUGGAAAAAGUUUCAAGAAAUGUUAUUUUCUUCUUUGUCUCUUCUGAUAUUAAUUGAACUAGUCCUGCUUCCUCUCUCACAUAAAUGUAUUUUCUCUCUUGCCUUCAAGGAUAAAAAUUCAGUGAACAUAAAAUAGUAAUUUGUUAGAAAACACUUGGGAAAGGAUUUCCCACCUUGGGGCUGAUGCAGCUGUUUUGUCACAUGACUGACGUGGCUGUGUCCCUGUGCAUCCAGGGGUAAGCUCCGUUCUCGAAGUACCCUGAGUAGGGAAAUGGGACAGUUGUCCAACAUGCCAUAAUAUUUAUUGUUUCUGCAUGUUCUGGGGGAAAUAUGUCUUAAUUCCCAGAAUUUCUUCAAUAUUUGAAAGACAAAACAAAGACAAGUGCAAGGGUGUUUCUCUAAGACAUUAAAUCAAAUGCAGUUAGUGAUAAUACAAGAUUCUGAAAAGGUUUUCUUGUCCCAUUAAAAAUUGAAAUAUUAGUGAUAUGCAAGGAAGUAUACUUC